This 61-nucleotide ribosomal RNA is filed under the name Heliconia caribaea. RNAcentral describes it as "5.8S ribosomal RNA". The record is from RNAcentral. Lineage: Eukaryota; Viridiplantae; Streptophyta; Magnoliopsida; Zingiberales; Heliconiaceae.
CGUCGAUGAAGAAUGUAGCGAAAUUUAAGAGAAUGUAGCGAAAUUUUAGGACAGCAAGCGU